GAUCUCCUGACCUCAUCAUCUGCCCGCCUCGGCCUCCCAGUUUGUUUGCAUUCUUUCCCCACAAAUAAUGGGCAAAACUCAUAGCGGAAAAAAGGGUGAUGCAAAUAAUAUCUUAAAAAUGUAUUUGAUUUAUUAAGCAUCAAUUUGCCUCUAAUGUUUUUAUGGACACUUGUUCUAAUAAAUGUAUUGUUGAAGACAGUUGACAUUGAUGAAAAGAAUCAAAUAAAAAUUAUAAAUUCAGAGACACAUUUGACCAAACACCCAGGGUAAAGUGUAAUAGUCAUUCCUUCCAUUGGUUAGCACAUAGCUUCAACUACUGAUUAGUUCGUUACUUUUUUGAUAUCUCACCUGGAAUUCAUAUACAGAUUUAAUUGUAGGCAAAGAUUUAAAAAUCAUAAUAUGAGAGCCAGUAUUUUUUACAAUUCAGAAAUGAGGAUCAAGCCGCCUAAGAAUAGAAGUAACUACCAUUUCCUGAAUAUGUACUAAAGGCAAAGCUGAGUAUAUUAUUCUCUAAUACUCAAAAUACAUAACGAGUUCAAUAUUUUUGCCUUCAUUUUACAAAUAACAAGACAGGGGCUUAGAACAGGCAACCAAGUUGCUUAAAGCCAUAUCUGGGUCCGAAUACAGGACCCCACUACUUUGUAACCUUUCUAGAGUAAGGCUUUGCAAAGUAGUCCUGGGAGGACUUGCAAAAUCUCCUCAAAUCAGCUUUGACUGCUGUCUAAAUCUAUUCAGAACUUCCAGAUAGCUAAGAUAGCAAGACAUCUAAAUGCUAAACAGUUGAUGAUGGAAGUAUUUUUGGGCUUAGUUUUUAAAAAAUGUAUGAUUCAGUAGUUUUUAGUAUGUUCAGAAUGCUGUGUCACCAUUACCGUUAUCUAAUUUCAGAACUUUUUCAUCACCCAUAAUAGAAACCCCAUACUCAUCAGCAGUCACUCCCCCUUGCCCUCUUUCCGAGCUCUUGACUACUGAUCUACUUUCUCUGUAUACACAUUUGCCUGUUCUGUGUAUUUUAUAUAAAUGGAAUCACUCAACAUAUAAUCUUUUUUGUCUAAUGUCUUUUAUUUAGCAUAAUCUUCUCAAGGUUCAUCCACGUUGUAGAAGGAAUCAGUACUUCAUUCUUUUUACGGUUGAAAUGAUUCCAUUGUAUGCUAUUUACCACAUCUAGUUUACCCAUCUAUCAGUAAUGGACAUCUGGGUGGUUUCCACUUUGGGGCCAUUAUGAAUAAUGCUGCUGGGAACAUUCAUGCACAAAUUUUUGUCUGGACUAUGUUUUUAAUUCUCUUGGGUAAAUACCUAGGAGUAGAAUCGCUGGCUUAUAUGCUAACUCUAUGUUUAACUUUUUGAGGAACUGCCAACUGCUUUCCAAAGCGACAGUGGAGAUUCUGUUUUUUAAGAAUCAGAUCCACGAAUUUUGGAUAUGUCACACGAUUGACUUUUUCUUCCUUUUCAACAGCUACAGAUUUCAAUGAGGACAAUAAAGGAGCAUAAGAUCGAGAGGUCAGUGGUGGGGCAGGUCUUGGCAAGGAGGAGAGACUAUGCUUUUUGUUUCCUCUAGACUGAAUUGGAGCGUCAAUGAAGAGGCAAGAUGAGGCUGGAUGUUGGAAAAAGUCUCCUUGGAAGAGCUGCUCUGCUGAGUGCAGUUAAGCAGAAAACUGAAAGAUGAAAAUGUAGGGGUCAGAAAAGGGAUUUUCUUAUAUGACAGGUUUAAGUGUUUUGAGUGCUCAUGGGGUGUAAGAUGUAGAUCUGGAAUAAGUGGCGGGGGUGGGGUAAAUCCUAUGGUUUCCUCUGUGCUUUGUACAGAGACAUAGUGGUGUGAGUGGCAACUGGGUAAAAUAAGUGUAACUUCAAUUUUAAUUUUUUUCUUUCA
RNAcentral lists this long non-coding RNA (1867 nucleotides) under Homo sapiens (human). RNAcentral's name for it is "long non-coding RNA NONHSAT182996.1". The record is from RNAcentral. Lineage: Eukaryota; Metazoa; Chordata; Mammalia; Primates; Hominidae.